UGGCUCAGAUGGUAAAGCGUCUGUCUGCAAUGCAGGAGACCCGGGUUCAAUCCCUGG
RNAcentral lists this transfer RNA (57 nucleotides) under Ovis aries (sheep). It matches the Rfam family "tRNA", at positions 8 to 63 of the family's 71-position model. From Rfam's summary of the family: Transfer RNA (tRNA) molecules are approximately 80 nucleotides in length. Their secondary structure includes four short double-helical elements and three loops (D, anti-codon, and T loops). Further hydrogen bonds mediate the characteristic L-shaped molecular structure. tRNAs have two regions of fundamental functional importance: the anti-codon, which is responsible for specific mRNA codon recognition, and the 3' end, to which the tRNAs corresponding amino acid is attached (by aminoacyl-tRNA synthetases). tRNAs cope with the degeneracy of the genetic code in two manners: having more than one tRNA (with a specific anti-codon) for a particular amino acid; and 'wobble' base-pairing, i.e. permitting non-standard base-pairing at the 3rd anti-codon position. RNAcentral also lists the same sequence under 1 other name. Lineage: Eukaryota; Metazoa; Chordata; Mammalia; Artiodactyla; Bovidae. The record is from Rfam by way of RNAcentral.